AACCUCCGCAAUGUGAGAAAUCGCGACGGGGGGAUCCCAAGUGCCAUUCUUAACGGGAUGGCUUUUCUUAAGUGUAAAAAGCUUUUGGAAUAAGAGCUGGGCAAGACCGGUGCCAGCCGCCGCGGUAACACCGGCAGCUCUAGUGGUAGCAGUUUUUAUUGGGCCUAAAGCGUCCGUAGCCGGUUUAAUAAGUCUCUGGUGAAAUCCUGUAGCUUAACUGUGGGAAUUGCUGGAGAUACUAUUAGACUUGAGACCGGGAGAGGUUAGAGGUACUCCCAGGGUAGAGGUGAAAUUCUGUAAUCCUGGGAGGACCGCCUGUUGCGAAGGCGUCUAACUGGAACGGUUCUGAGGUCGAGGGACGAAAGUUAGGGGCGCGAACCGGAUUAGAUACCCGGGUAGUCCUAACUGUAAACGAUGCGGACUUGGUGUUGGGGUGGCUUUGAGCUGCUCCAGUGCCGAAGGGAAGCUGUUAAGUCCGCCGCCUGGGAAGUACGGUCGCAAGACUGAAACUUAAAGGAAGU
RNAcentral lists this ribosomal RNA (521 nucleotides) under uncultured bacterium. Its description in RNAcentral is "bacterial SSU rRNA". It matches the Rfam family "Archaeal small subunit ribosomal RNA", at positions 345 to 866 of the family's 1478-position model. The record is from RNAcentral.